ACUCCAUGCAUAAGUGAAUAUACUUUAAGUGUGCACACAUGGUAGAACAAAAGGAGUGAUUUUACUCGGGGAAAGAUACAUAAAUACUAAGUAACUAGUUAAUUGCCUUUGUGCUAUUAAAUACAACUGCAUUUUCAAUUUUAUAUUUAGAAUAAGAUUAUGAAUGUUGUAAUCUUUGGUAAUAUGAAAUUCAUGAUUCCUUGCCAGAUAAAGGCGGUAUUGUUUUUGUUAAAAUAUUCAUAGAAAAUUCUUCAGAAUUUAUAUAUAUAGAGAUUUUGACUGUAACAUAAAGGAUAUUCAUAAGAAGCAGUAAUCAAAGUGACUUUUAAAACCCACUUUACCAGAUGUGAUGUUAACUUGCAUCUACAGAUCAGUAUGAUAUGAUUAUAAUUCCCCGGCUAAAAGAGGAAUGUGCUUUUUGGAAUUAAUUAAGAAAUACAAGUGCUGUCAAGUGAAUUUACACAAAUUGAAGGUGGUACAGUAAUUUUGUCCAUCAAAAAAAUCAGAAAAUUUACUGCUACCGCAAGAGGUGGAGUAAUCUGUUGAAUUGUUAUUAAAUUAUCUUUAACUGUAUUGUUUUCCUAGCUAUAGGGAGGUAUUAUAUAUAUAUAUAUUCAGGUUUGAAAAUUGUAUGAGAUUUCUGCUCAUUUGUUGAAUUAAGACUGGGAAAUAGGACCCAUAUCCAAUCCGAAGAGCUGCACAGCAACCCCAUCAUACACAAUGAGACAUAGGUUGGCAGAGUGAAAGGCCUCAGUGCUGGUUAUCUUAUUAAAUCAAAGAAGUUUAUCAAAAAGCACAAUUGUACUUACUGUACUUGUUUUCAUAUAUAUCAUAUAUAUCUAUAUAUCUAUAUAUAGCUGGAUUGUUUCUAAUAAUCUUUUUAGAAUUAUUUUGAAUUUAGAUAUAAGUGUGAAUGGUAGAAAUAACUGUAUAAAGAGAAACUUGUUCAUCAUUUAGAUUGUUAACUAGAAAUCUGAAAAAAUCAUUGAAAAUUUUUUAUUUGAUAUAUUUUUUGACUACAGACAAUAAAUUUAGGGAAGAGUAUUAUGGUGUAAGGAAUAAGAAGUGAAAUUGAUAUACUGAUUCUGAUUGUAUCAUUAAUUCCACCCAUACAGGAUUAUCAUUUCAUAGAUUCUCAUAAUUGGCAUAAUAAUAUACAAUUUUUUUUUCUCUCUUUUUUUUUUUACAAGCAAAGUGGUAAUAGUCAUAACAUGAGAAGCACUUGAGUAUUGGUGUGAUAUAGCAGUCUCCAGCCAAAGUAAAAUUCAAGAUAAAACAGUACUUGUAGAUUAUUCACAAGGCACGAAAAGCUUCAGAAUAAACUGCUCGACAAAUGUGUCUUCCUUUGAUGGUGGAUUUGUAGACAACUGAGGUGAUUAGAGGUUGGAAAUGCUAAAUAAGCUGACUCUCAGUUGAUGUGUAUAAAAGCUGUUGACCAUCUUGUUUACAUAGAGGUCAACUGUGAUGGACAGCACUUUUAAUUUCCCAAUGUUUUCAACCAAGCAGAGACACGGUUUUUUGCUUUUCACAUGCUUUUAUUGCUUACAUGGAUAUUUUAAAGCAGUGCACUUUGUACUAGCAUAACGGUUUAGUAGUUGUUUAUAAUGUUUUCAUGAGGGUAAAUGACUUUUCUUUUGCAUUCAAAUUGUUAUGCCUCUUGUCUGAAAAGUUAAUCUACGGUUUUAUUUUGUGAGGCCUAAGGCUCUAGGAAUUGGGUGGUGGUGGUGGUGUGUUGAUUAAUACUGUAUCCUUAACAGAACACCGAAGAAUACCAUCCUUAUGUAGUGAUUGACAAUGGCCUCACAUUUAUAGGGUCUACAAGGGUGAUAAUCGUUACUAAUUAGUUUUAUAUUAGUGGUUGUUAAGGCUAGUCUUUCAUAAUAUGUCAUUGGUUGAUGUUUGCUAAUGUGUAGCCAGUUUUUAAGCAUUUUUAUAGUGUUAUCCUGAUAGAAAGGAACAGAAAGUUUUUAGCAAUACAUAUUUUAUAAUGAUAUAAAUGGUUGAUUCAUUGGCUAAGAUGAAAGUUUUAUAGCAUCUCCAUUGUCAUUUAGUCUAAUAUUCUCAAUUCAAAUAACUUUUAAAGUCUUCAUGCUCUAUUUGGAAACUUAACUUUAUCUAAAUACGUAUACUAUUUAACCUUCUUCAUCUUGUAGGCACAAAUUUCCUCUUGUCAUUUAUUAGGGCUUUGAUAUUUAUAUACACAGAAAACAUGGGCCAAUUUAGACAAAGUAUAAAUAUAUUUUUAUUUUUAGAUUGCUUUGCAUAAACUAACUGCACAUCAGUAACAGUUAAAAAAGAAUGACCUAUAGUGUUUCUUUAAAGAAGGGGUAAAUUUACUUUUUGAAAUGACAAUUUAAGAUAUGAUAUCCAGAUGAACUGUGUUAACUGUCACUUUGAAGAAGAUUGUCACCUAAUAGUUUUAAUAGUUUUUAAGCAACAAAAAUACUGCAAUAAAUUGUUAUAUGUCACUUCCAAAGAUUUUUAUACAGAAGUAACAUCAUGCAGCUGUUCCUACUUUUUCUGUAAACCCAAUAUUAACAAAUAUUUGCUUGCUCUGUCCUUCAUUACCAAGGUCUAGGGAAAUUUUGCAUGCUGGAGUAUGCAUGAUUAAAAGAUUAAAGCAAAAUCAAAUGGGAAAUAUAUUGAUAAUGGUCAUAGUAACAUCCUCGCAAUGAGGGGCACUUUGGCUGUUGUUUCUUGUUUUUAAAUCUGUUGUGUAUUCAGAAGAUACAGUUAUGAAAGUAUUUUGAUUUUACCAAGAACUAGAUCCAGGCCAGGAUAUGUAUGUUAAAUAAAGAAUUCUUUUUGGCCUGAUUUCUCAAAUACACCAAUGCCAGGUUUUCUGUGUAUAUACUAGUAGAAAGAGAAAGUUUCACAUUUAACUAGUUCUUUCUCAUACAGUUAACCAUGUUCCUGCCACUGACAUCAUAGAAAAUGUGAAACUUCAGUAUCUUUCUUGGCUAUUUCACCUUCUCCAUUCAGAUCAGGAAUCCUAGAUAUAAGACUGUGCAGGAGGCAAUGCAACUUUAGCAAGUCACUAUUUUGCAGUUGUCAUAUCAUUAUCCAGUUUAAAAAGUGAAAAUAUCUGAAAAAUUCACCUCAUAUUAGUAUGAAAAGUACAGUGAACUUUUUUGCAAUGUGUUAGAAUUUUGCAAUCUUCAGAGGUGUAAAAAUCAUUAGCAUUUUUAACUUAUGUACACCUCUGUGAUUAGGUAAUUUAAGAAGAUUAGGAAAAGAUAAUUUUUUAAGGUAAUACAAAGCAGACAAGACUGAAAUCUUUUCUAUUUUAUAGACACUGUUAUCAUUGCUUUGUAAUCCAUUAUCAAUGUUGAGUCAUUUUAUAAAUAUAUUUUACUUCGUUAACAGAAAAGAACACAGAAAAUAGAUAAGUGUCUUCUACAUUUGUACAUAGAUCAGUGAGGAAGAGACAUAGAUAGAAUGUCAGGAAGUGUGAUGUGUGUUUUCACCAUAAUAAAACUUCGACAGUAAUGGGGUCUUAAUGACAGUGUCUCGCAUAAGUGUUGGUCCAAUCCACAGGUUGCACGUAAUGUCUUCUUGAUAGUGAUGAUGAACAAUGGAGAGUCCACAGUAAUUUCUCAUUUCUCACAGGAGUACAUAGUUUUGUACAAAAUCCAUAUGUAUGCUACUAUACUAAGGUGAAAGAAAAUUCAAAAUUAUCUAGCAAAUUUUGUCAUAAAUGCCAUAAAGAUAUAAACAUUUUCUUUGGAUGAGAUUGAUUUUGUGGAACAGAGAAUAUACAAAAAAAGAGUAACAUAAUGUAUAAAUUCCAUGUUGUUGAGUAGAAAGAUAAAUACAGAUUUAUGAAGACCUUGUGCACAUCGUGGUAACAAUGAAUUAUUAUGUAUAAUGAAAUGAAUGUAGAAUAAUUUGAGAAUUUAUUUCUGCCAUAGUUUAAAAAUGUACUAUUUUUAAAUUCCUAGAUUGUGAUGAUAAAGAAGAGAGAGUAGGUGCAGUUUUAUAACUUUUUAUUGCAAGUACAAAAUUAUUACAUAAACAUGGACACUAGGAUGAAAAAAUAAAGCAGGUAAAGAUAAACAAACAGCUUAACAUACCAGAAUCAGUAUUAUAGAAGGAACAUGGUUUGUUACUCUAUCUGCAUUUAUAUUUUAAUGCAGGUAUUAAUCAUUGGAUAAAUUAUAAUACUUUGUGAAAGUAAUUAUGGAGUACUUCACAAUGCUUGGAAGUUUGCUUAAGUGGUUCAGAAGUUACUACAUCUUGAAGAUAAGAAAUGCAACCAUUGACUCCUUAUGUUUUACCUUUUCUAAACUAUGACAUAGUAAACUAGUCUAGUGUAUUUUGCACAUCUGUGAAGUUCACUCUUCAUAGACAGUUUUCUGUUACAUUUUUGUUCUGUCAAGAUAUUUAUUGAAAUUAAUUAAUUAAUACUAAUAAGUCUGUGUUUGGAUAAUGUUUACCAUUAAAUGUUUUUUUAUGUAAAUUCUCUGAUUUUGACAUUGCAGCUAAUGAUCUGAUGCAGUUCUCUUUUAAGUUAUUUGCUAUCUUUCAAUAUUCUUGAUGAGGUACUGGAAUGAAACUUUAGCUCCUGUAAUAUACUGUAAAAUAAAACUUGUUAAACAUUUUUAAUAA
This is a long non-coding RNA of Penaeus indicus, 4608 nucleotides long. RefSeq lists it as uncharacterized. The record is from RefSeq and is a predicted model, not a curated record. The transcript has 2 exons. Lineage: Eukaryota; Metazoa; Arthropoda; Malacostraca; Decapoda; Penaeidae.